This is a long non-coding RNA of Oncorhynchus keta (chum salmon), 2514 nucleotides long. RefSeq lists it as uncharacterized. Lineage: Eukaryota; Metazoa; Chordata; Actinopteri; Salmoniformes; Salmonidae. The record is from RefSeq and is a predicted model, not a curated record. The transcript has 5 exons.
CCAGAUGGGACGCUUGGCAUUCAUGCCAAAAAGUUCAAUCUUGGAUUCAUCAGACCAGGAAAUCUGGUUUCUCAUGGUCUGAGAGUACUUUUGAUAAACUCCAAGAAGGGUGGCAUGUGCCUUUUAAUGAAGAGUGGCUUUCGUCUGCCCACACAAGCCUAAAGGCCUGAUUUGUGGAGUGCUGCAGAGAUGGUUGUCCUUCUGGAAGGUUCUCCCAUCUCCACAGAGGAACUCUGGAGUUCUGUCAGAGUGACCUUCCGGUUCUUGGUCACCUCUCUGACCAAGGCUCUUCUACCCCGAUUACUCAGUUUGGCCGAGCGGCCAGCUCUAGGAAGACUCUUGUUGGUUUCAAACUUUUUCCAUUUAAGAAUGAUGGAGGCCACUGUGUUCUUGGGGACCUUCAAUGCUGCAGACAUGUUUUGGUACCCUUCCCCAGAUCUGCGCCUUGACACAAUCCUGUGUCGGAGCUCUACGGACAAUUCCUUCGACCUCGUGGCUUGGUUUUUGCUCUGACAUGUACUGUCAACUGCGGGAAUUUAUAUAGACAGGUGUGUGCCUUUCCAAGUCAUGUCCAAUAAAUUGGGUGUACCACAGGUGGACUCCAAUCAAGUUGUAGAAACAUCAAGGAUGAUCAAUGGAAACAGGAUGCACCUCAAGUCUCAUAUCCAAGGGUCUGAAUACGUAAAUAGGAUAUAUAUAUUUUUGUAUUUUAUACAUUUGCCAAAAAAAUCUAAAAACCUGUUUUCGCUUUGUCAUUAUGGGGUAUUGUGAUGUCAUUAUGGGGUAUUGCGAUGUCAUUAUGGGGUAUUGUGAUGUCAUUAUGGGGUAUUGUGAUGUCAUUAUGGGGUAUUAUGUGUGGACUUCUGAGGAUUUUAAUUAUUGAAAUACAUUUUAGAACAAGGCUGUAACGUAAUAAAAUACAGAAAAAGUCAAGGGGUCUGAAUACUUUUCAAAUGCACUGUAUAUCUGAGCUAGAGGUGAGGGGGCAGGGUCGCCUCAUGGGCUAGGGGGCAGGGUCGCCUCAUGGGCUAGGGGGCAGGGUCGCCUCAUGGGCUAGGGGGCAGGGUCGCCUCAUGCCCCAGAGGUUAGGGGGCAGGGUCGCCUCAUGCCCCAGAGGUUAGGGGGCAGGGUCGCCUCAUGCCCCAGAGGUUAGGGGGCAGGGUCGCCUCAUGCCCCAGAGGUUAGGGGGCAGGGUCGCCUCAUGCCCCAGAGGUUAGGGGGCAGGGUCGCCUCAUGCCCCAGAGGUUAGGGGGCAGGGUCGCCUCAUGCCCCAGAGGUUAGGGGGCAGGGUCGCCUCAUGCCCCAGAGGUUAGGGGGCAGGGUCGCCUCAUGCCCCAGAGGUUAGGGGGCAGGGUCGCCUCAUGCCCCAGAGGUUAGGGGGCAGGGUCGCCUCAUGCCCCAGAGGUUAGGGGUCAGGGUCCUGUGGGUUUCUCUGGCCCCUUGGGAACACUGGCAUUUUGCACCUUUUAUAUUAGCUACAAAAGACUCUCUACACCAAUGCACAUCUACACAGUCUAGCUGGAGGACCUGUGCUAGCCUCAAUAAAAACGUCUCAGCAACAAUAGUUAAACUGACUAGGAAAAUCACAUUUGGGUAUUUUACACAAAACCCCAAAACCAAGACAACAUGGAGGCCACAUUCCUGCAUACGGUAGCCAUUAGCCAAGCCCACGUACAACUCAAUAUUCCCUGUUAGUUUGGCGUAUAUACUGUCUUCUCCCUAUGACUGUAAACUAGUGUAACAGACACACAGAGGGAGAUCCAUAAACUAGUCCCGAGGUCGCUCCAUAACACACUAGUUAUGGAUCUGUACUGUCACAAAACAGCCUGGCAGCCAUGACAGAGCUAAAAUUAGCUUGGAUCAUUAUCUUCGAUCAGGAGGCCCAGUCCAGAGUUAUGGCCUGCAGCUCACACUGUCUCAACAUCCCAAACAAGUUGGACUGAACUUGAAAGUUGAGUGCCUUGGAUGAGAACACAAACUUAGCUGAUGGUCAACUAUUCUCUGUUAUCAACUUCAAGACCUGGUUUACAUGCUAGAAGGACUUUAGUAAUACUAUAACAGGGGUAGACAGAGGUUCAGUAAUACUAUAACAGGGGUAGACAGAGGUUCAGUAAUAUUAUAACUGGGGUAGACAGAGGUUCAGUAAUAUUAUAACUGGGGUAGACAGAGGUUCAGUAAUAUUAUAACUGGGGUAGACAGAGGUUCAGUAAUAUUAUAACUGGGGUAGACAGAGGUUCAGUAAUACUAUAACUGGGGUAGACAGAGGUUCAGUAAUAUUAUAACAGGGGUAGACAGGUUCAGUAAUAUUAUAACUGGGGUAGACAGAGGUUCAGUAAUAUUAUAACUGGGGUAGACAGAGGUUCAGUAAUAUUAUAACUGGGGUAGACAGAGGUUCAGUAAUAUUAUAACUGGGGUAGACAGAGGUUCAGUAAUAUUAUAACUGGGGUAGACAGAGGUUCAGUAAUAUUAUAACUGGGGUAGACAGAGGUUCAGUAAUAUUAUAACUGGGGUAGA